This 377-nucleotide ribosomal RNA is filed under the name uncultured bacterium. RNAcentral's name for it is "bacterial SSU rRNA". It matches the Rfam family "Bacterial small subunit ribosomal RNA", at positions 523 to 898 of the family's 1533-position model. The record is from RNAcentral.
AUACGUAGGGUGCGAGCGUUAAUCGGAAUUACUGGGCGUAAAGCGUGCGCAGGCGGCGCUGUAAGACAGGUGUGAAAUCCCCGGGCUUAACCUGGGAACUGCGCUUGUGACUGCAGUGCUCGAGUGCGGCAGAGGGGGGUGGAAUUCCACGUGUAGCAGUGAAAUGCGUAGAGAUGUGGAGGAACACCGAUGGCGAAGGCAGCCCCCUGGGUCGACACUGACGCUCAUGCACGAAAGCGUGGGGAGCAAACAGGAUUAGAUACCCUGGUAGUCCACGCCCUAAACGAUGUCGACUAGGUGUUGGGGGAGGAGACUUCCUUAGUACCGUAGCUAACGCGUGAAGUCGACCGCCUGGGGAGUACGGCCGCAAGGUUAAA